AAAAAAAAAGUAAAGAAAGAGAAGAGGAAAAAGGUGCGUUGCUGGAGCUGGAUGUUCUAAACUUCCUUUCUCCAACUUCUUCCCAAAUGGAAGCUAAAAAUGAUGAUCUCUAGUUGGUAAGUAACGCUAAGAAACAGCAGAAGAGAUUCUUCUGCUGUUUCAAGAGCGAGAGAGGAGGACAAAAUGGUAAAAAAAAGUAAAGAAAGAGAAGAGGAAGAAGGUGGGUUGCUGGAGCUGGAUGUUCCAAACUUCCUUUCUCCAACUUCUUCCCAAAUGGAAGCUAAAAAUGAUGAUCUCUAGUUGGUAAGUAACGCUAAGAAACAGCAGAAGAAGAGAUUCUUCUGCUGUUUGAAGAGCGAGAGAGGAGGACAAAAUGGUAAAAAAAAAGUAAAGAAAGAGAAGAGGAAGAAGGUGGGUUGCUGGAGCUGGAGGUUCUAAACUUCCUUUCUCCAACUUCUUACCAAAAAAUGAAAAAAAAAAUCAAAAUCUCCAGAAAGAAAAACUGGAUCUGGAUAUUGAAAAUGAAAAUCUACAGACAGAAAAACUGGAUCUGGAAGCUAAAAAUGAUGAUCUCCAGUUGGUAAGUAAUGCUAAGAAACAGCAGAAGAAGAGAUUCUUCUGCUGUUUGAAGAGCGAGAGAGGAGGACAAAAUGGUAAAAAAAAGUAAAGAAAGAGAAGAGGAAGAAGGUGGGUUGCUGGAGCUGGAGGUUCUAAACUUCCUUUCUCCAACUUCUUACCAAAAAAUGAAAAAAAAAAUCAAAAUCUCCAGAAAGAAAAACUGGAUCUGGAUAUUGAAAAUGAAAAUCUACAGACAGAAAAACUGGAUCUGGAAGCUAAAAAUGAUGAUCUCCAGUUGGUAAGUAAUGCUAAGAAACAGCAGAAGAAGAGAUUCUUCUGCUGUUUCAAGAGUGAGAGAGGAGGACAAAAUGGUAAAAAAAAAAAGUAAAGAAAGAGAAGAGGAAGAAGGUGGGUUGCUGGAGCUGGAUGUUCUAAACUUCCUUUCUCCAACUUCUUACCAAAAAAUGAAAAAAAAAAUGAAAUUCUCCAGAAAGAAAAACUGGAUCUGGAGAUUAAAAAUGAAAAUCUACAGACAGAAAAACUGGAUCUGGAAGCUAAA
This is a long non-coding RNA of Amphiprion ocellaris (clown anemonefish), 1117 nucleotides long. Lineage: Eukaryota; Metazoa; Chordata; Actinopteri; Pomacentridae. The record is from Ensembl.